AUGCCGUCUACAUGACUGCUGGGUGCAGGGUCAUCAGGAUGCUCACCUUUACCGUCCUUGUGCUUGCUACGCUCGCCCUGCUUUGCCAUCACCGAAAACGUGCGUACGCUAGGAACACGGUCGGCUUCUUGCACGCUGCAGCAGGGGCAGGUGGUGGUGGCGAACGUGUGUUGUGGGUCGCCUUGGACGGACUGCAGCACGCCGAUGCAGCCAAAGGCGUGAAGCGGCAGUAUGUAGUAUUUACAAACGAAUACAAGCCAGAAGACAGGUUGUCGGCCGAGUCGUCCGAUCAGCACCUCCUUUCCCUCGUCGAAAAACAGUUCAGCAUCCGCCUUCUUCGGCCUGUGCGCUUUAUCUACUUGCGCCCCGCCGUGACCCGGUGGCUGAGCGGCGACGCCUACCCACGUCUCACGUUGCUCUUGCAAACCUUCUGGGGCGGUGCGGCCCUCUUUUAUGAGGUGGCGAUCGCAAAUGCGGUGACGCCGAUCGUGUUGGAGACGGUUGGCGUGCCAUUUGUUUAUCCUCUGCUACGGCUUCUUGCUGGGUGCACGGUGAUCUCCUACACGCAUUACCCCAUCGUCUCCUCCGCCAUGACGCAGCGUGUGCGCAUCGGGGAGGUGAGCCACACCAACGCACCGACCGUGGCACGGAAUCCGAUGCUGCGUUGCGCCAAGGUUGUCUAUUACGAAGUUUUCUCGCUCCUGUAUCGCUGCAUGGGCUUUUUCCCUAAUGUGGUUCUGACAAACUCGUCAUGGACGCAGAACCACGCGCAAUCUAUUUUUUGGCCACGCACGUGCAUUCGGCUGUACCCGCCGUGUGACGUUGCUGGCUUUGCCGCGGAGUCUCAGCCACCUGCGCUGCGCAACAACCGCAUUGUCAGUGUCGGCCAGUUCCGACCAGAGAAGAACCACAUGCUUCAGCUUGUAGCUUUUCAUGCAGCAAUGCCGCGGCUGCCGAUGGAUGCCAAGCUCGUCAUGAUCGGCGGCGUACGCAACGCGGAUGACCGGAAACGUGUUGAGCAGCUGCACGCGCGCGCAAAGGAACUCGGAAUCGAAAAGCAGGUCGAGGUACUCAUGAAUGCGACAGUGGCGGAGGUGCGGGCUGAACUGGGAAAGUGCGUCAUUGGGCUUCACACCAUGCGUGACGAGCACUUCGGCAUUGUGCUGCUGGAGUAUCUCGCUGCUGGCUGCAUCCCUCUUGGACACCGGAGCGGUGGUGUCGAACUUGACAUUGUCAACUCUCCCGAUUUGGGCUUUCUCGCCGUUACGGCGGAAGAGUACGCAGCCGCCAUGGUCGAAAUCUGUGAAAUGCGGCUGCGCGAUCCAGAGCGGUACGUUCAGUUCCAGAAACGCGGCAGCGAGCAUGUCAAGUCAUUCGACGACAGCAGCUUUCGAACCCGUUUUGUUGAACUGGUCAGCGAGUAUGUCUACGCCUGCUAGCGAGCCCGUAUGCGGAUUUUUUUUUUGAUAUCUGUUGCACGCUCAGCACGGGCGAUGCCCACUCUGUUCGACAGGGAAUGGAAACUGACGCAAAGAAGCGUAUGCAUGCGUCGCUUGGGCGUUAACGCCGCUCCCAAUUCACUACUGCAAAACAUUAAAAGAUCGCUGGACAAUACCCUAAAACUGCGCCCCGCAGUGCACGGUAUCUGCUAUGCUCGUGCAUAGCAUCGCUACUGGUUCCGCGCACCUUUCCUGCAUGUCAGAUUGGAGACAUCCCCCUCCCCCUCACAGACUGCGCGGCGCUGUGCACUGUGAGGGUGAAUGCCGUGUGUCUCCAUGUUCCGUGAUGUCUGCGUUUCCGGGCCGCUCUCUCACCAUCGCGGCCAGGAAAACAUGUUUGUCCGCCUUCCCUCCCCGACUCCUUUGCACCCUUUUCUCUCGCUGGAGCGGCUGCUCGGCCCGCACACUCACAAAAG
Molecule: unclassified non-coding RNA, 1915 nt
Filed under: Leishmania donovani
Lineage: Eukaryota; Euglenozoa; Kinetoplastea; Trypanosomatida; Trypanosomatidae
Description: gene:LdHU3.35.6980(CDS-product:alpha-12-mannosylt ransferase_putative)
Source: RNAcentral